ACGAACGCUGGCGGCGUGCUUAACACAUGCAAGUCGAACGGUCUUAUAAGCUUGCUUAUAAGAUAGUGGCAGACGGGUGAGUAAUAUAUGGGAACAUGCCCUUAAGUUCGGAAUAACUAUUGGAAACGAUAGCUAAUACCGGAUACGUCCCGCAAGGGAGAAAGAUUUAUCGCUUAGGGAUUGGCCCAUAUUCGAUUAGGUAGUUGGUAAGGUAAUGGCUUACCAAGCCUGUGAUCGAUAGCUGGUUUGAGAAGAUGAUCAGCCACACUGGGACUGAGACACGGCCCAGACUCCUACGGGAGGCAGCAGUGGGGAAUAUUGGACAAUGGGGGCAACCCUGAUCCAGCGACGCCGCGUGAGUGAAGAAGGUCUUCGGACUGUAAAGCUCUUUUGUUGGUGAAAAUAAUGAUGGUACCCAAAGAAUAAGCUCCGGCUAACUUCGU
RNAcentral lists this ribosomal RNA (443 nucleotides) under uncultured bacterium. Its description in RNAcentral is "bacterial SSU rRNA". It matches the Rfam family "Bacterial small subunit ribosomal RNA", at positions 29 to 506 of the family's 1533-position model. The record is from RNAcentral.